CAUCCACCUGUCCCCGCUGGACAGCGUCGGCGGCCGCCUGUCUUUCCCUCACCCGGCAGCGCCUUCCCUCCCCCCUCCACCCUCGACCUCGCUCUCAUAAGCAAGUCGUCCACCGCACGGCCACCGGGACGGGAAAGCAACAGCACGUCUCGCAGCACCAACCAGGUCUGCGACGGCUCCCGUUGUGCGAGCGCUUUCUCUGCCGCUGGCGUCGAGCCUCCUCUCACCGGCGUCGACCUUCGUCCCUGGCCCUCUCGUUUGUUUCUCUUGCCAGCGAAGAGCGCAAAGGGGGCCCGGCGUGUCCAUACACGUCCCAACGUCUGCAGAGGGGCACCAUGCAGCCGCUACAGCGUCACUCCGCAGCGUCGCCAUGUCUGGCCUCCUCUGCAAGAGUGCCUCUCGCGCCGCGAUAUCACGCUCAACCGCCGCGGCAGCAACCGUCUGCUCAAAGCAACCUGGGGCUCGUCCAGUCCGCCUACGCGGUGCUGCACGACGUGCAUGCCCGCGCCACGCAGCUCGUCGAUGAGGCAGAGGCGUAUCUGACCGGUGCGUAUGGCGCGACCCUGACGGCGACGCCCAGGGCAAGGGCGCAGCCCUCCAAAGACACAGCGUCGAAGCACGACAACGCGGCCUCCGCAGCAGCGGAGUCGCUGCUGCAGCGGUGCCUAGAGAUGCAGGCGCUCCUGCAGCCCGAGGGUGGCAACGCCGCCGUCUCACCAAGUCCUGCAACGCAUCUGGUAAGCGCGCUCUCCUUGCUCGCGGAAUGUCUUCCAUCGGACUGGAAGGCUCUCUUGGUGGUGCAGCCGGAGGAAGCACGCGCCGGCGGGGUCGGUGUCGGCGCGGCAAGCGCACAGGAGGCGUCGGCGACGGCUCCAACGCAGGAAGAGGAUGCAUCUGGUGCAGACAGCAGCGGCGUCAGUGGCGAAGGCACCUCAGCCUCCUCGACGAAGCGCGGUGCCUCCAAGCCUGCUGUGGCCAGUUUCACGGUGUGCCCGUCCGACCUUGUGCGGCUGGGAUUGUUGCUGCGCCGCCAAUGGACGCUUCAGCGUGACCUCGGCCUCCUCGUGGUGGCGCUUCGCGAUAUCUGUGCUGUGUUCGCAGCCGGGAAGGCAGCUGCAAACAGUGUAGAUAACUUGAGGGCAUCUGCAGCCGAGGAUGUGCCGCCGCCACUGAUGACGGUGGCGGUGACUCUGGCCAUGCUGCAGCUGCCGCGUACGCCUGCAAUGCUCGAGGUGCACGGGGAGCGCAUGCGGGCGGAACGGCUUCCCGUCGGGGGCGGUGCAGACGCAACCCCAACUUAUCCGUACCCCUGUGUCGUCACGGUGCUCCCGGUAUGGCUCUCGCAUGCCUCGUACGCCGCUAAGUGGCGGUGUGGCGAAGGUGCGAACGUGCCAUCAGCGUCUCGCACGACGGCGGCGCCUGUAAAAGCGGUGGUUUCUGCGUUGGCGUCUGCGCUUCAGAAAACAAAACAGCUGUUCAAGUGGGAGGCACACCUGGCCCGAUACGUGAGCAUCGUCCUUGAAGCACCGCCUGCGGGCUCGUUGCAGCCGCAGCCGCAGCAGGGCAACGCUCCCAGCGGCGUAGGCAGCCUUUCGGCAGCGGGCGCGGCGCCACCACCGCAUGCGUCUGACAAGGACUUCCUCUGCGAUGUACAAGCGGAUAUGAGCCUCGAGCGUGGUGCCUGCAAUGAAGUACAGCUCUUGUGGCUCACCGCAGCGGCAGCUGUCGUCGCGGCAGCGGCAGAAGCAGAUGCCUUUUGUGGUGGCGCGCUUGACAUGGGCAGCGGCGCUCUCGCCUCCCCCGGAGUCAGGAAGCGAUGCGACAAGGUGGAACGGACGCUGCGCGCGAUCUGUUCCACUUCGGCCGUGGCGCGUGCGUUGCUGCCUGGAGUGCUACUCCUGCUGGGCUGCAGUGCCGCUCGCCGUCGUAGUGGCCCGGAGAAGCCCACAUCGGACGCGCAGUCGAGGGGGCUGCAUUGCUGGAUGGAGGCCUACUCGCUUGGGCAGCAGGUUUUGGGUAGUGCGCACCCCGUGGUGGCGGCAGCUGCCGCGUUGCUUCCCAACUCGGCUGUGGCUGCCAGUGGGGAGCGGCAAGCCCCACCGUCUGCGCCGGCAUCGCGCACGGCGGCGCACCUCCGAGCGUUUACGGCAGCGCCGUCGAACGCUCGCAACAGCGUCAUGGCGCGCAUCAGCGGCGAAGACGCCCCACUGCCGUUACAUCCGCUGUCGCCGCAGCAGCAGCAGCAGCGCAUGCCCACCGGCACACUCACCCGCCUACCGCCUCUUCCACCGUUAACACUCUCCGGCCCUGAGCCGUCGCGACUUGCACCCGCGCCUUCGUCGCCGGCCCUGUCGUGGUCGCUGAAGUCCGUGCCGACCUCCACGGCAACGGCGCGGUCCUCCAAGAGCGGGCCACCCCUUCCUCUUGGACGUACUCUCACGCUGCCCUUCACCAUCUCCUCCACUGCGGCAGCCGCUGACGGUGUCGCCAGACCGUUUCGUCGCCCAUCGCCGCAGUCGUCGCUGUCGGCGUCGAGGCUGCCCUGCAGUCGGUCACUGCGGCACUGCUACCGGCUGCAGCGGCCAGCGGAUGCGUUUACUCUGCGCAGCGACGUGAAGGAUGCCGUAUGGCUUGCUGACGACAAGGAAAGCGCGAAGAAGAAGAACGCCGCUCGGCGCCGCAGGGAACGGAAAGACCAACUGCAGUCCCCGACGGCGGCUUUGCUACUCUCCGCGAUAUCCCCAAGGAGUGCUGGGGCUGCCGGGACCCUCGCAUCGGGGGUCGACGCCGACGGCAGUACGCGCCGGCAGACGAAGCGUGAUCGCAACUUCUUACCCGCUCCAGGGGCACCAACAAGCCCCCCCGACGCCGCCGUCUCGCCGACUUUGCCGCAACCGAAAGUGGAGCUAGAAUCGCAGCAGCAGCAGCAGCAGCAGCAGCAGGACCAGGCAGGCGUUCAAGAGCCUCAGCAAGGCGAGCUCAGCGAGGGUGCGCCGCUCAACCUCGGUGCCACCGUGAAAGGUGUCCAAACAGUCGAAACCGAGGCUGAGCAACAACACAACAGUGGCGAUGGUGGUGGUAGCGCUGCCGACGCGGAAGCCGGGGGGGCACCAGCGCCACCAACGGCCAACUCCACCUUCACCGCCUAUCAGCAUCGCGGCUUCAUCUGCACUAGCAGACUCAGCGGCAGCAGCCAAAUGCAACUCAGGGGAGACGGAGGUGCACUACACACACAUGUAGUCGAUACUGCCGGCGCAGUCGAAGAAAACGCCAAAGAAGAGGAGGAAGAGGAAGAGGAAGAGGAGACGCUGCCAGAGCGCAACGCGCGGUUCCAGCGUGAGAUCAUCAAGUACUACGCCGAGCUCAACGAGCGGCGGGCGAGGGCGGCGAUGACCCUUCAACGGGCAUGGCGCUCGAGCAAGGCGCGUCAGAUCCUGUACGCUUAUCGCCAGGCCCUGUACCAGUACGUCUACGCAAUCCAGAAGGCGGCCGCGCUGGCGAUUGAAGGCCUUCUCUCGUGCGCGGUGGAGCAGCGCCGGCGUCAAGAAGCUCUGCAUGCGCGCGCCGUCGCUGACGCUCGUCGACGAGAUCAGGAGCAGCGGGAGGUCUCUGCCGCCCAGAAGCUCACUCGCGCCGCGCGGCAGUGGCUGCAGCGGCAGCGCGAGCGGCGCCGCCUGCGCAAGGAGCUCGGCAUCGCCCACGACGCGCGGCUGCGACUGUGCGCAAUCAACGCCGUCAAGGUGCAGCAGUGGUGGCGCCGUGUGGUUGUCGAGAAGGCGUACUGGCGCCGCCGCACAGCAGAGGUGAAGGAGCAGCGCCGCCUCCAGGCGGAGGCAGGACGACAGGCGCACGCGGCAGCCACAAUUCAAAAGCGGGUGCGCGGCAUCCAAGCGCGUCGUUGCGUGGCGCAGCUGCGCGAAGCCCGCAAAGCCGAGGAGCUCGCGCUUCGCCGCCGCCGCGAUGCCGCCACGACUGUGCUGAUGAUUGUGCUGCAGGAGUACGUCCUGCGUCAGGGCCGCCUUCACCGUGAGGCGUUGGCGCUGGAGGAGAGCAGGGCAGAGGCGGCGCAGCGCAUCGCGGUGGGUUGGCGUCGCUGUGUUGAGCGUCGUCGCCUAGAACUCGCGGUGGAGCGCGCUCGACAGCUGCGCACGUCGUCGACGCGCAUUCAGCGGGCCUGGAGGCGCUACGCCGCAGGGCGCCAACGCCGCUAUCUCCGCCAGCUGCGCCACACACUGCAGGAGGAGCGGCUGUCGCGCGAGGCGCAUACUUACGAGGUCAUUCGCCUUCUCCAGUGCUUCGGUCGCAGCGCGCAGGCGCAGCUGCUCGUGCGCCGCCUCAAGGCGCGUCAAGGGCGCACCUUCAUGGAAAACCUCUUUCUUGUUCAAGCAGCCGGUCGCGGUGCCUUGACCAGAGCAGAGAUGGGUCGGAUGCAUGUGGCGGAGCAGGCAAGGCAGCGCGCCGAAGCCGCGGCCCUUGAAACGCGGCGCUGGCGCGCCAUCUGUCUCUUGCAGGCCCUCUUACGAGCGCACGCCUCCGCAGCCCUGGUGCAGCAGCGGCGGCGAACAAUGCUAGCAGAGAAGCUUGUGGUGCGCACCACCGCAGCACGCGAGAUGCGAGCAGACGCUGCUGCCAGAGUGUUGCAGCGCGCCGUACGUCGGUACCGAAUGCAGCAGCGCACCGCGGCUGCCGAGGCGGAGGCGGCAGCCGCGCUGGCUUUUCUGAGUGCGAUGGCUCACCGCCUCCAGCAGGCGUGGCGCGCGUUCGCGGCGCGGUGCGAGCGGCGCUAUCGUGCUGCCGCCGUGGCUCAGUGUGCGCGCAAGCGGCUCGAGCGGGAGGAAGUGUGGCAGCUGGUUUGGCACGAUCAGUUCACCGAGCUCGAUAUGCUGUGUGUGCUUGAGCGGCAGUACAUCGAGGAGCAGCAGCACGUGGAGCGCGUCCGGCUCUACAACUACCUGUGUGACCCGAACAGUGCCACCAACGACGGCUGUUGCGCUCAGGCACCUGGUGCCUUCAACGCAGACGCGGACUUGUUGAAGUGGGCCACCCUGUACGACGAGUGAAGUGAAGGCAGUCUCAGAGCACCUUUCUCUGCGCGCACGACUUGGAGCGUGUGCGUGGGUGCCGCUGCGUGCCUCCUCUCCUGAUCUGCUCACUGCCCUCCCCACCUCCCCUCGCCACACUCGCCCUCCCUUGACACACGCACGUCCCCACGCGUGCGCAGCGGAGCGCCUCUUCUCUCGUGUUGUCAGUGUUUUAUUAUUCUUUUCUACGCGCAUGUACAGCCAAAG
RNAcentral lists this unclassified non-coding RNA (5288 nucleotides) under Leishmania donovani. RNAcentral's name for it is "gene:LdHU3.10.1310(CDS-product:hypothetical_prote in_conserved)". Lineage: Eukaryota; Euglenozoa; Kinetoplastea; Trypanosomatida; Trypanosomatidae. The record is from RNAcentral.